Molecule: unclassified non-coding RNA, 246 nt
Filed under: fungal sp.
Lineage: Eukaryota; Fungi
Description: partial internal transcribed spacer region
Rfam family: Eukaryotic small subunit ribosomal RNA (bases 1-46)
Source: RNAcentral
AAGUCGUAACAAGGUCUCCGUUGGUGAACCAGCGGAGGGAUCAUUACAGAGUUGCAAAACUCCCAACCAUUGUGAACCUACCUCACCGUUGCUUCGGCGGGUGGCCCGGGGCAACCCAGGCCGCGCCGGCUCCUGUUCAGGGGCCUGGCAAACCCGUCAGAGGACCGAAACUCUUCGUCAUCAGUGGCCUCUCUGAGUAACUUAUACAAUAAGUCAAAACUUUCAACAACGGAUCUCUUGGUUCUG